AAUCAACGCUGGCGGCGUGCCUAACACAUGCAAGUCGAACGCGAAAGCCCUUCGGGGGUAAGUAGAGUGGCGUCCGGGUGAGUAACACGUGGGUAAUCUACCUCCGGGUGGGGAAUAACCAGUCGAAAGAUUGGCUAAUACCGCAUAAUGCAGCGGCACCUAAUGGUGAUUAGUUGUUAAAGCGGGGGAUCGCAAGACCUCGCGCCUAGAGAGGAGCCUGCGGCAGAUUAGCUAGUUGGUGAGGUAACGGCUCACCAAGGCAUCGAUCUGUAGCUGGUCUGAGAGGACGGCCAGCCACACUGGCACUGACACACGGGCCAGACUCCUACGGGAGGCAGCAGUGGGGAAUUUUGGGCAAUGGGCGAAAGCCUGACCCAGCAACGCCGCGUGAGGGAGGAAAUCCUUCGGGAUGUAAACCUCACAAGCAAGGAAAGAGAGCUGCGGGCUGAAUAAUCCCGUAGUACGACGGUACCCUGCGUAAGCCACGGCUAACUACGUG
RNAcentral lists this ribosomal RNA (499 nucleotides) under uncultured Bryobacterales bacterium. RNAcentral describes it as "bacterial SSU rRNA". It matches the Rfam family "Bacterial small subunit ribosomal RNA", at positions 32 to 507 of the family's 1533-position model. The record is from RNAcentral. Lineage: Bacteria; Pseudomonadati; Acidobacteriota; Terriglobia; Bryobacterales.